Passer domesticus (house sparrow) is the source of this 2015-nucleotide long non-coding RNA. RefSeq lists it as uncharacterized. Lineage: Eukaryota; Metazoa; Chordata; Aves; Passeriformes; Passeridae. The record is from RefSeq and is a predicted model, not a curated record. The transcript has 2 exons.
UUACAAAAAACCCACAGCUCUUCCCUCUGUCCUGACCUUGCUCUGUGCCUUGCAGUGGUGGCUUCCAAAAGGAUUGGGGAAUCUUUAUGGGGAGUGAAUCCCCUUCUAGUGCUCAUAUGAACUGUGAGUGGAAUUCUGCUGAGCUGUUGGGAAGAGAGGGGGUAAAGGAACAAGCUCUGGAGAAACACAGAGGCUGCUCCUGCUCUUCCAUCCAGCCAAAAUAAACACUGUGAAGUUGCCACAGGGUUUAUUUGUUUCUUCGAGGAUGCAUGGCGUGGGAGGUGGUGUAACAGGUCAGGAAUGAGCUUUGGUGUGAUUUCCUUUAGCACCUGGGAUGGGGAAUUUCACAUGAGAAUGCCAUCAGAUCCCUGGAUUUGGCUUCCAGAGCAAUCCAAGUUUGAUUUAUCCACACAAAUAAUGGAGGAAAAAAUACCCACGGUCCCUGCUGGUGAUUUGUUCCCAUUACUGCCUUCCCACGCUGUUGGAAGACGUGGAGCUUGUUCCAAGCUGGAAUUUGACUGACAUCCCACUCCAAACACUGGAGCUCACUGGGUGAUUUUAUCUCCUCCCCAGAGCAGAGAUUGCCUUGCUGAGGGUGAGUAACCAGUGGUGCCCAUUGCAGGAGUGACUGUGCUUUCAGAAAUCAAAGUUCACCCACUGGGCCUGUUCUGACUUGGGAGACAGGAGCCAUGGGAACCAUUGUUAGCAUUUCACAGGAGAGUGGGUUGAUAUUUUUUAAUCAACAUUUGCAUUCUUAAACUUCGCUUCUAUUUUAUUUUUAUCCACCUCCUUUCUCCUUGUACGUUUUCCAGCGCAUAAAAAAGAAAGAAAGGAAGAGAACUUUUUAAUUAAACUUUUGAAGAAAACUACAGCACAAAGCUGCUCUUUAUAUUGCAGGAGAUAAAUCACUGCAAACAUUUGGAAAAGCCCAGACUUUGGUGCAUUGUACCAGUGAAAUCACACAUCAGGAAUGAUCUGGGCUCCAAGUUUGGCUCCUGGUUGAAGGGGCCACUAAAUGAACUUGGUUGUCACUGCUUAUCAGGCUAAGGGGCCAAGCCAAUGUGGUGCUGGACACAUCUUGGCCAAGCUGGAUGGGGCUUGGAACAACUUGGUCUGGUGGAAGGUGUCCCUGCCCAUGGCAGGGGGUGGAACUGGAUGAGAUUCAAAGAUUCCCUUGAUUGUAAGGCACCUUUAAAUAAGCAAAAUGCUAAAGCUGAAAAAACAGCAAGAAAUGAAUAAUGCAAUGAGCUGAGCUGAGCCUUAGGUGAGUAAAACGUGCCUGGUUCUGAGGUGCUUGCCCCAGGUGCUUCCUGUGGCCAGCUGGGAUAAAUCCAUUUGUGCUCCUUUAGGCAAAGAUGUCCCUCCAUUAACUGGGAAAGAACUCAAGGGAAUGCUCAGAAAUGUGUCUCCAUUUUGGAGAUUUUCUUCUGCUAAGGUGACUCUUGUUUUCCCUUGAGUCCAACCAUGAACCCAGCGCUGCUGUGUUCGCCACCGAGCCGCGUCCCCUUUGUGACACCUUCUGGACACUUCCAGGGAUUCCAGUGUGGAUUUCACCACUUCCCUGGGCAGCUGAUCCAAUGCCUGACCUGUCCCACUACAGUGUCACAGUGGAGCUUCUGUCUCUGCUCUGCUGUCAGUGAUGGACCAACUCAAUCCACACAAAUCAAUGAUGCAGGGUUAUAACAGCCUUAAAGAAGGAUUUUUUUUCCAGGGGAAAACAAACAAGGGGAAAAAAAGCCUUUCACUCUAGAUAAGGCUUCCUCAGCCCCUCCUGAGCUGGCUCAUUUAACACAAUGAACUGUCAAAAUAUCCCCCCUCUGGUUCCAAUAAGCUCUGGUCCUGCUUCCAUGGACUUUGGAGCAGCAUUUUGGUCUCCAGACACAAUUCCCUGAGCAGUUUGGCAGAAGUCAGUCCAGCUCAUGGGCAAGAGAGGGAGGGAUGUUCCCCUUCCACACUCUGGCUGGGAAUAUCCCUGGAUUUAAUGGCUCAUAUCCUGGCCUUGUCCCCCUUGUGCA